Long non-coding RNA from Harpia harpyja (harpy eagle), 1997 nucleotides. RefSeq lists it as uncharacterized. The record is from RefSeq and is a predicted model, not a curated record. The transcript has 8 exons. NCBI's taxonomy places the organism in Eukaryota, Metazoa, Chordata, Aves, Accipitriformes, Accipitridae.
UCCUCCUUGUUGUAUACCACUCCAGCAGCCUUUGUGUCACCUGCAAAUUUUGUCUGCAGUCAUUUUGCAUGGGCUGGACCCAGUACUGCUUCUCGUGAAAGCACCGUCUUUCAAUGAUGACUUCUCAUUGACAGCUACAUUGGAGGCCUAUCAGGUAGCCAUUGCUAAUGCAAUUUGGUGUAUGCUCUGCUUGUACUAUCAGAGUUAUUUUAACCUGUUGAUUGCUUGGUUCAAGUAGCAAAACAGUUUGGCACCCAGGAGUCUUGAAAGCCUAAAUUUCAUGUGGUGGAAGGUAGCUGUAACGUUCAAAUUCUGCCCUGCAGGCUGCACUGAGCCUAGAGCAUCCCCUGCUGCUUCAAUCUUGGGAUGGCACUCCCAGUCAAGGAGCCCAGGCAGGGAACUGGUUGUGUAGUUUGUGUUCAUUUUUGUUGUUUUGUGUGAGGCAAUCUUUUACUCCUUAGGUGUUGCUUAUUCUUAUACAGGGAAAAAAAAAAAAAAAUCAGGUUUGAAACUGUCCUGGAAAAAGGAUUUGAUGUUUUCUCACAGCAGUUCCAUUCUUUGUCUCGACUUCUACAGCCAUUUUCUAGAAGUCCCCUGUGCAAAAAGAAGAUGAAAAUGUAUAAAAUAAAGAGGAUACAGAAUAAACUCUAUAAUUAUAUUUUAUACCCCGACAUAUACUAACAGCAGCCAUGCCUAUAAUGUCCAAUUCAGGAAAAAUAUGGAUGCCUUCCUCUAAGGAGUAAAUUUUCAAAAGUCACUUUUUCACAUUUCAUGAGUCCAGAGGGUAGGCACUGUUUAACUCACACUUACUUAAAUCAGAUAUAUUAUAUUUAUUCAGAUAUAACCUUCAGGGUAGCAUGCAUAACUGAAGUGUUUUAAUGGUUACAUUUUCCCAACAGAACAUGUUGAAGAUCAUGUAGGUGAGUAAUCAACGCCAUAAAAUAGCUACCCCAUUUCCAUUGCUUUGGACAAAUCCUCAUUCUGAUUUUCUUGGUUCUCGGUGCGACGUGCCAGUUUAUCACCGUUGAAUGGUGAAAUUCACUCCAUCUCACUGAAACACUACUGUGAUAUACAUACCUGGUUAUUUCUUCCACUGUUUUCCUUCACUGUGUACACUCUUGGUUUUGAGCAGUUUCUGUACAUUUACUAAAUCUACCCUCACAUUUUGCAGUGUAGGGCAUUAUUUCUGUCUCUGUUUUACAUAUAGAAAAUAAGACAUAGGUUGUUCCAAGGUGACAGAGGAAGUGACUGGCAAGGGGUGGCAAAAGCCCGGAUGUCCUGAAUUGGAGUCUAAUGUUUAAACCAUAAGGCCAUCAUUCCUCAAACACUUCAUCAGAGGAAAAGACAUGUCAGUGACUCUGUUCUGCAUUGUUUUCUGAGAUAGAAGAAUUCCCAAGCUGCUGACGAAAAGGUGCUUUUUAAAAAAUGUCAGAAGUUAAACAGAUCUCCUCAGAGAAGCUGAAGAUGGAAAUAUUUCUCAUGUGAGCAAUUGAACACACACAGAACGGAGGCUGCUUUGCGCUGAGUGAUCCUGGAGAUGUAGUUAUUCCGAACUGAAUAUUUCUGAAGUUUCCUUUUGAUUCCUGUAAUAGGAGACACGGCAAUGAUGUUUAUCUCCUGAACAAGACACAACAAAUGACCUUGUUGCUUCAGGGGCAAGCCAGCAUGAAGAAUGAAUGAAUGCAUGUGAAUGACCAAAGACAAGGCAUCAAAGAAGGAAUUCAGAUUCCACUAAUGGAAAGUUUUGGAACAGAAUUGAACAGAAGAUAUUGCCGUGGUUUGCUCAAAAAUAAGACAGAACGUUUUCAUUACUCCUGAGGGACAUUUAUGGAGAACAGGCAAAAGGGAGGACAUAUAUCUGUAGGUCAAAUAAAGAGGGUCUGAAGAACAACUACAACAACAAGGAAGCAAUGCAGAAACAGAAACCUGAAUCAAUAUUCAGUCAAGCCCAUUAAUUAUGCAACUCAUUUUGUACUGAUGAAGCUAUGAGAGCGGUA